RNAcentral lists this ribosomal RNA (877 nucleotides) under uncultured eukaryote. RNAcentral's name for it is "SSU rRNA". It matches the Rfam family "Eukaryotic small subunit ribosomal RNA", at positions 636 to 1469 of the family's 1831-position model. The record is from RNAcentral.
CGGUGUUCAACUGGCGUGUCCGCGGGACGUCCUGCCGGUGGGCUUAGCCCGCAAGGGCGGCCCAACUUCAAAUCCCAUCGCGGUGCUCUUCACUGAGUGUCGAGGUGGGCCGGCACGUUUACUUUGAACAAAUUAGAGUGCUUAAAGCAGGCUAAAACUUCGCCUGAAUACUGUGUGCAUGGAAUAAUGGAAUAGGACCUCGGUUCUAUUUUGUUGGUUUUCGGAACCCCGAGGUAAUGAUUAAUAGGAACGGAUGGGGGCAUUCGUAUUGCGACGUUAGAGGUGAAAUUCUUGGAUCGUCGCAAGACGGACAGAAGCGAAAGCAUUUGCCAAAAACGCUUUCAUUGAUCAAGAACGAAAGUUAGAGGUUCGAAGGCGAUCAGAUACCGCCCUAGUUCUAACCAUAAACGAUGCCAGCUAGCGAUCCGUCGACGUUCCUCCGAUGACUCGACGGGCAGCUUCCGGGAAACCAAAGCUUUUGGGUUCCGGGGGAAGUAUGGUUGCAAAGCUGAAACUUAAAGGAAUUGACGGAAGGGCACCACCAGGAGUGGAGCCUGCGGCUUAAUUUGACUCAACACGGGAAACCUCACCAGGCCCGGACACCGGAAGGAUUGACAGAUUGAGAGCUCUUUCUUGAUUCGGUGGGUGGUGGUGCAUAGCCGUUCUUAGUUGGUGGAGCGAUUUGUCUGGUUAAUUCCGAUAACGAACGAGACUCUAGCCUGCUAACUAGGCGUAUUUUCGACAUCUCAAAGGUCCGUCGUCCCGGCCCUCGGGUCGUGGGCGUGCGCGAUUUUUACUGUCGGCGUACUAUCAAUUCUUCUUAGAGGGACAGGUGGCUUCUAGCCGCACGAGAUUGAGCAAUAACAGGUCUGUGAUG